RNAcentral lists this ribosomal RNA (766 nucleotides) under Pseudocaryophyllaeus tenuicollis. Its description in RNAcentral is "partial large subunit ribosomal RNA". It matches the Rfam family "Bacterial large subunit ribosomal RNA", at positions 1191 to 2581 of the family's 2925-position model. Lineage: Eukaryota; Metazoa; Platyhelminthes; Cestoda; Caryophyllidea; Lytocestidae. The record is from RNAcentral.
UAACCGAAAAUUCGGGAUCUACCGUUCUGUCGGUUUGCUAGUCGUGGGUAACUCAGUAAAUGGGGCGUGUGGAGGUGAUAAAUAAGUCGCCCGGGUGUAUAGCUGUUUUUUGAGGAUACAUUGUCGUAGUAGCACACUGGCGAAGAGGUCAGUGUGCCAGUUACAUCAUGGGUCGGGUGCUAUUUAAAGCGGGGUUGAGGUUACCCCCCUUUAGGGAGUGUGUUCAAAUUCAAUAAUUUCUGAGGCGGAUUAGGCCGAUUACUCAAGCACGGCGUAAUUGUUUGGCGUAGUAUAUGAAUUAAUAAGUAAUUAUAAUAGACAUAAUUUUUCUCAAACCCCCACCGACUGUUUAUUAAAAACAUUUUCCUAUGGCGGUUUGUAGGAUCCAGCCUGCCCGGUGUCUGACGUAAACGGCCGCAGUAUUAUGACUGUGCGAAGGUAGCAUAAUUAAUUGCCCCAUAAUUGGGGGCUUGUCUGAAUGGCUACACGUGUGGGGCGCCUUAAAUUAUGUUUUUAGUUGAAUUUAAUGCUACGAGUGCGAAAUCUGUAAGCUUUUAAUAAGACGGAAAGACCCCAGGAUCUUUGUUUUUUGUUUGGGGCGAAUCUGGAUGUUGCAUCAGGUUUAAGACCCGCGGAUUAGAGGUUUAAGUUACCCUGGGGAUAACAGAGUAAUGGUUUAGUAGAGUUCAUAUCGAUUAAACCGCUUGCUACCUCGAUGUUGACUUGGGUCAGGCCGCCGGCGUAGCCGUUGGCGGGUCGGUCUGUU